Molecule: ribosomal RNA, 630 nt
Filed under: uncultured bacterium
Lineage: Bacteria
Description: bacterial SSU rRNA
Rfam family: Bacterial small subunit ribosomal RNA
Source: RNAcentral
GGUGUAGCGGUGGAAUGCGCAGAUAUCAGGAGGAACACCGAUGGCGAAGGCAGGUCUCUGGGCUGUAACUGACGCUGAGGAGCGAAAGCAUGGGGAGCGAACAGGAUUAGAUACCCUGGUAGUCCAUGCCGUAAACGUUGGGCACUAGGUGUGGGACCGCGCCGCAGCUAACGCAUUAAGUGCCCCGCCUGGGGAGUACGGCCGCAAGGCUAAAACCCAAAGGAAUUGACGGGGGCCCGCACAAGCGGCGGAGCAUGCGGAUUAAUUCGAUGCAACGCGAAGAACCUUACCAAGGCUUGACAUGCAGGUGGUGCAUGGUUGUCGUCAGCUCGUGUCGUGAGAUGUUGGGUUAAGUCCCGCAACGAGCGCAACCCUCGUUCCAUGUUGCGACUCAUGGGAGACUGCCGGGGUCAACUCGGAGGAAGGUGGGGACGACGUCAAAUCAUCAUGCCCCUUAUGUCUUGGGCUUCACGCAUGCUACAAUGGCCGGUACAAUGGGUUGCGAUACUGUGAGGUGGAGCUAAUCCCAAAAAGCCGGUCUCAGUUCGGAUUGGGGUCUGCAACUCGACCCCAUGAAGUCGGAGUCGCUAGUAAUCGCAGAUCAGCACGCUGCGGUGAAUACGUUCCCGG